RNAcentral lists this ribosomal RNA (1551 nucleotides) under Neisseria meningitidis. RNAcentral describes it as "bacterial SSU rRNA". It matches the Rfam family "Bacterial small subunit ribosomal RNA". Lineage: Bacteria; Pseudomonadati; Pseudomonadota; Betaproteobacteria; Neisseriales; Neisseriaceae. The record is from RNAcentral.
AGAGAUUGAACAUAAGAGUUUGAUCCUGGCUCAGAUUGAACGCUGGCGGCAUGCUUUACACAUGCAAGUCGGACGGCAGCACAGAGAAGCUUGCUUCUUGGGUGGCGAGUGGCGAACGGGUGAGUAACAUAUCGGAACGUACCGAGUAGUGGGGGAUAACUGAUCGAAAGAUCAGCUAAUACCGCAUACGUCUUGAGAGGGAAAGCAGGGGACCUUCGGGCCUUGCGCUAUUCGAGCGGCCGAUAUCUGAUUAGCUAGUUGGUGGGGUAAAGGCCUACCAAGGCGACGAUCAGUAGCGGGUCUGAGAGGAUGAUCCGCCACACUGGGACUGAGACACGGCCCAGACUCCUACGGGAGGCAGCAGUGGGGAAUUUUGGACAAUGGGCGCAAGCCUGAUCCAGCCAUGCCGCGUGUCUGAAGAAGGCCUUCGGGUUGUAAAGGACUUUUGUCAGGGAAGAAAAGGCUGUUGCUAAUAUCAGCGGCUGAUGACGGUACUUGAAGAAUAAGCACCGGCUAACUACGUGCCAGCAGCCGCGGUAAUACGUAGGGUGCGAGCGUUAAUCGGAAUUACUGGGCGUAAAGCGGGCGCAGACGGUUACUUAAGCAGGAUGUGAAAUCCCCGGGCUCAACCCGGGAACUGCGUUCUGAACUGGGUGACUCGAGUGUGUCAGAGGGAGGUAGAAUUCCACGUGUAGCAGUGAAAUGCGUAGAGAUGUGGAGGAAUACCGAUGGCGAAGGCAGCCUCCUGGGACAACACUGACGUUCAUGCCCGAAAGCGUGGGUAGCAAACAGGAUUAGAUACCCUGGUAGUCCACGCCCUAAACGAUGUCAAUUAGCUGUUGGGCAACUUGAUUGCUUAGUAGCGUAGCUAACGCGUGAAAUUGACCGCCUGGGGAGUACGGUCGCAAGAUUAAAACUCAAAGGAAUUGACGGGGACCCGCACAAGCGGUGGAUGAUGUGGAUUAAUUCGAUGCAACGCGAAGAACCUUACCUGGUCUUGACAUGUACGGAAUCCUCCAGAGACGGAGGAGUGCCUUCGGGAGCCGUAACACAGGUGCUGCAUGGCUGUCGUCAGCUCGUGUCGUGAGAUGUUGGGUUAAGUCCCGCAACGAGCGCAACCCUUGUCAUUAGUUGCCAUCAUUCAGUUGGGCACUCUAAUGAGACUGCCGGUGACAAGCCGGAGGAAGGUGGGGAUGACGUCAAGUCCUCAUGGCCCUUAUGACCAGGGCUUCACACGUCAUACAAUGGUCGGUACAGAGGGUAGCCAAGCCGCGAGGCGGAGCCAAUCUCACAAAACCGAUCGUAGUCCGGAUUGCACUCUGCAACUCGAGUGCAUGAAGUCGGAAUCGCUAGUAAUCGCAGGUCAGCAUACUGCGGUGAAUACGUUCCCGGGUCUUGUACACACCGCCCGUCACACCAUGGGAGUGGGGGAUACCAGAAGUAGGUAGGGUAACCGCAAGGAGUCCGCUUACCACGGUAUGCUUCAUGACUGGGGUGAAGUCGUAACAAGGUAGCCGUAGGGGAACCUGCGGCUGGAUCACCUCCUUUCUA